CGCUGAGAGGUAAAUAGAAGCAGGAUCUCAAAAUGGCGGAGCCAGUGAGUCCCGUACGAGGUGCGACGGUGGCGGCGCCGCCACCGCCGCAGCAGGAGCCCUUCGCUUCGAACCUGUCAGCGGACACCAGAGCCUCUCAACGUAGCUUCCAGCCAGCCGCCAAGCGCAUGAAGGGAGAAGAGCGGAGCCUCAAAGGCCCUAAGCGCGUCAACGGCGAGGGCGGCGGCGGCGGCGGCAGCAGCAGCAAUAGGCAGCCGCCACAGCCGCCUCACAUACCAGUGGCGCCAACCCCGGUAGGUCACGGGAGCCCUGCCGUGUGGAGCCUCACCGCGUUUUCUUCGGGAGCCUGUGGUGGCGGUACCGCCACAACCAGCGGUGGGUCAUUCGUUUUCCCGCCUCAAUUGCCCCACAAGUUGCUACUGCCGCCGCCCUCUUCCCACUCUCACCAGUGCUUGGCCGCAGGCGUCGAUGGAGCAGGCGGCGGCAGUAGUAGCAAUAGCAGCAGCAGCAGCAGCGGUGGUGGUGGUAACAGCAAGAGCAAAAGGCCCAAGGAAAAACGCGACAAGGAGAAGAGGAAACUUGGGGCCCUGCCCGUGUCAGUUACAGUAAUAGGGGGAAUAGGAGCAGGCGGCGGCGGCGGCGGCCUCAGCGCGAGUGCUCGGGAGGAAAACGGCGACGUGAAGAUGUUACUUCAGCACCACCAUCAUCACUAUCACCACCGUCAGGAAGAUCAAAUUGUCAGAGACAAAAUGACUGAAAAGGAUAAUGAAAAACAGAAAGAGAAGAAGAAACAUAGGUCAGUGUCUGAAAUCAAGAAAGAAAAUGGAGAAAUGAAGCUAUUUCAGAAAGGUAAAUUUGAAGUAUUAUGUCCCUUAUAGCUUCUUUCAUGCGUACUUGUUUUGCUUGGUGCAAAUCUCAAUAUAAAGUUGUGGAGAGUAGAAACUUUCUCUUUUGAUUAAGUACUUAAGGAAGAGAAAACCAUUUGUUGACAGAAUGUUCCCAUCUGGAGAAAUGUAUGGUUUAUUUAGCUCAAUAUAUGUAAAGCAAGGUACAUGUGUUUAUGUUUAAAUGUAUAGCCUGCCCCUUGCUUUAUGGUCACAUGGCAGGAUACAUACAUAUUUAUAAAACAAAUUAAAAUUCGCAUCAAAAGUACAAUUCAUGUUACUUUACAACCUAGCUCCACUACAGAUACUAUCAUAUAUCCUUCAUCUAUUUCCAAAGGCCUGGAUAAAGAGGUGCAUCUUGACUUGCUGCUGCAAUGUGUGCAGCGAAUGCACUAGAAUCAUUUCAAAGGAGAGGGUAUUCCACAAACUUGAGGUCACCACAAAGAAAACAUUUUCUUGCUGCAACAUUCCAAGAAUUCCAAACGAGCUGAUAUUGAUAACAGCUUGCCCUGGUGAUCCUAAUACCUCAGCUAGUUUAUAGGGGAGGAUAUGCUCUUUCAGGUAUUUGAGCCUUAAGUUUUUCUGGGAAUUUUAUGUUAACAUCAGCAACUAGAAGUGGACUUGGAAGCAAUUUGGCCUGGAGUAAUAUGAGUCUUAUUAGUGCUGUCUGUCGGCACCUGGACUAUUGUAUUCCAUGGCAAUUACAGCUUCCAAACAGUCUUGAAGAGCUGCCUAACAUAGAGUACUGUAUUUUUCCGUCUGUAAGAGGUCCCCAUGUAUAGGAUGCCCCCCCCACUCUUCUUACUGAUC
This 1694-nucleotide long non-coding RNA is filed under the name Varanus komodoensis (Komodo dragon). RNAcentral's name for it is "lncRNA (ENSVKKG00000018493.1)". The record is from RNAcentral. Lineage: Eukaryota; Metazoa; Chordata; Lepidosauria; Squamata; Varanidae.